CCUACGGGUGGCAGCAGUGAGGAAUAUUGGUCAAUGGACGAGAGUCUGAACCAGCCAAGUAGCGUGAAGGAUGACUGCCCUAUGGGUUGUAAACUUCUUUUAUAUGGGAAUAAAAUGUUCCACGUGUGGGAUUUUGUAUGUACCAUAUGAAUAAGGAUCGGCUAACUCCGUGCCAGCAGCCGCGGUAAUACGGAGGAUCCGAGCGUUAUCCGUAUUUAUUGGGUUUAAAGGGAGCGUAGGUGGAUUGUUAAGUCAGUUGUGAAAGUUUGCGGCUCAACCGUAAAAUUGCAGUUGAAACUGGCAGUCUUGAGUACAGUAGAGGUGGGCGGAAUGCGUGGUGUAGCGGUGAAAUGCUUAGAUAUCACGAAGAACUCCGAUUGCGAAGGCAGUUCACUGGACUGCAACUGACACUGAGGCUCGAAAGUGUGGGUAUCAAACAGGAUUAGGUACCCUAGUAGUC
RNAcentral lists this ribosomal RNA (460 nucleotides) under uncultured bacterium. RNAcentral's name for it is "partial 16S ribosomal RNA". It matches the Rfam family "Bacterial small subunit ribosomal RNA", at positions 338 to 795 of the family's 1533-position model. The record is from RNAcentral.